RNAcentral lists this ribosomal RNA (941 nucleotides) under Bacillus sp. (in: firmicutes). RNAcentral describes it as "bacterial SSU rRNA". It matches the Rfam family "Bacterial small subunit ribosomal RNA", at positions 56 to 976 of the family's 1533-position model. Lineage: Bacteria; Bacillati; Bacillota; Bacilli; Caryophanales; Bacillaceae. The record is from RNAcentral.
UGCAGUCGAGCGACUGAUUAGAAGCUUGCUUCUAUGACGUUAGCGGCGGACGGGUGAGUAACACGUGGGCAACCUGCCUGUAAGACUGGGAUAACUUCGGGAAACCGAAGCUAAUACCGGAUAGGAUCUUCUCCUUCAUGGGAGAUGAUUGAAAGAUGGUUUCGGCUAUCACUUACAGAUGGGCCCGCGGUGCAUUAGCUAGUUGGUGAGGUAACGGCUCACCAAGGCAACGAUGCAUAGCCGACCUGAGAGGGUGAUCGGCCACACUGGGACUGAGACACGGCCCAGACUCCUACGGGAGGCAGCAGUAGGGAAUCUUCCGCAAUGGACGAAAGUCUGACGGAGCAACGCCGCGUGAGUGAUGAAGGCUUUCGGGUCGUAAAACUCUGUUGUUAGGGAAGAACAAGUACAAGAGUAACUGCUUGUACCUUGACGGUACCUAACCAGAAAGCCACGGCUAACUACGUGCCAGCAGCCGCGGUAAUACGUAGGUGGCAAGCGUUAUCCGGAAUUAUUGGGCGUAAAGCGCGCGCAGGCGGUUUCUUAAGUCUGAUGUGAAAGCCCACGGCUCAACCGUGGAGGGUCAUUGGAAACUGGGGAACUUGAGUGCAGAAGAGAAAAGCGGAAUUCCACGUGUAGCGGUGAAAUGCGUAGAGAUGUGGAGGAACACCAGUGGCGAAGGCGGCUUUUUGGUCUGUAACUGACGCUGAGGCGCGAAAGCGUGGGGAGCAAACAGGAUUAGAUACCCCUGGUAGUCCACGCCGUAAACGAUGAGUGCUAAGUGUUAAAAGGGUUUCCGCCCUUUAGUGCUGCAGCUAACGCAUUAAGCACUCCGCCUGGGGGAGUACGGUCGCAAGACUGAAACUCAAAGGAAUUGACGGGGGCCCGCACAAGCGGUGGAGCAUGUGGUUUAAUUCCAAGCAACGCGAAAAACCUUACCA